AAAAUUACAUUCGCACUUGACGU
RNAcentral lists this small nuclear RNA (23 nucleotides) under Arabidopsis thaliana (thale cress). Its description in RNAcentral is "snRNA_10558". The record is from RNAcentral. Lineage: Eukaryota; Viridiplantae; Streptophyta; Magnoliopsida; Brassicales; Brassicaceae.